Molecule: ribosomal RNA, 468 nt
Filed under: uncultured bacterium
Lineage: Bacteria
Description: partial 16S ribosomal RNA
Rfam family: Bacterial small subunit ribosomal RNA
Source: RNAcentral
GACGAACGCUGGCGGCGUGCUUAACACAUGCAAGUCGAACGGAAAGGCCCUGCUUUUGUGGGGUGCUCGAGUGGCGAACGGGUGAGUAACACGUGAGUAACCUGCCCUUGACUUUGGGAUAACUUCAGGAAACUGGGGCUAAUACCGGAUAGGAGCUCCUGCUGCAUGGUGGGGGUUGGAAAGUUUCGGCGGUUGGGGAUGGACUCGCGGCUUAUCAGCUUGUUGGUGGGGUAGUGGCUUACCAAGGCUUUGACGGGUAGCCGGCCUGGGAGGGUGACCGGCCACAAUGGGACUGCGAUACGGCCCAGACUCCUACGGGAGGCAGCAGUGGGGAAUAUGGCACAAUGGGCGGAAGCCUGAUGCAGCAACGCCGCGUGCGGGAUGACGGCCUUCGAGUUGUAAACCGCUUUCGCCUGUGACGAAGCGUGAGUGACGGUAAUGGGUAAAGAAGCACCGGCUAACUACGUG